UUAGAGAAAAAUAUAAUGACACAAUUCAAAUAUUUGGUAAGUUUGCUAAUAGACAACAAAUUGCAAUCAAGUUUGGACACAUACAGUACAAAAUCUAGAAUAAUAUUUUUUGAAAUAACAAUUGAACCUGUACCAACAACUUUUGAUGCAGUAGCAUCAACAUUCUGAAUAGUGGAGUUAUUAUGACAAGGAGAAUAAGUGUGAAAUACAGUUAUAUCUCCAGUCAUGUGAUACAGUUAUAUCUCUAUGAUCACUGAUUUUGAUUUUCAUGUGCUAGUGUGUAAAGCAUGCAAAAAAUUACAUAGUUUGUUGGAGCAUUUUCUGUAGAGCUUCCAUUUGUUAUUUGAUGAAGGGAGAUAGAUCAUGUUUAUCCUUUGUUUCUUGAGAACACUUCUUGGACUUUUUGAAGUAGUUUGGUUCCAAUCACCCUUCCACGCACUUCAUCAAGAUCUUUGUCAAGUCUCAAAUUUUGUUUGUAGAUUAUAUCAUUUUCUACCAGCUCUUUGUACUCUUUCUUGUCAUCCGUAUAAUUUCAUUGCUGCUAAUAUCGACUAAGGGUGUUGAAGUAUUUUGGAGGUUGGGUUAUCUUUUCUUGGACUAUUUGCAGUCUUCUGCGACGUAGCC
This 624-nucleotide long non-coding RNA is filed under the name Cicer arietinum (chickpea). Its description in RNAcentral is "long non-coding RNA (CARI_LNC000420)". Lineage: Eukaryota; Viridiplantae; Streptophyta; Magnoliopsida; Fabales; Fabaceae. The record is from RNAcentral.